CCACAGCUGAGAAGGAUAGAUGCUGUUAGCUGCUGCUGAGAGCUCAGGGGUGGGCGGGCGUGAGGAGACUGGUUUCAGGUGUGCUGAAGAGGCUGGCGGUUAGAACCAAACGCACCCAGCGUGAAGGGCUGCAGGCGGAGAGAUGCUUCCAGAUCAACGCACAAAGCAGAGAGGAGGAGCCUCUUCCUCCUGACCUCAGCCUCCCUCUCUCAGCCCCUACUGCAGAGUCUAGCGGGAAGCCAAGGGGAGAAGAAGACAUAGAGCCCAGACUUCCCUUCUAAAGCAUCAGUUCAAAGAGAGUACCUGGGGGCAAAACGACUGCGGGUGCAAUGAAGGACCAGAAUCUCAGGCAGGCGGCAGCUGUCCCCCUCCAGCCAGGGUCUCUGGGCCAGCCCCAUGGUGUCCUUCUCUGUACCUGCCCCGCCUGGUUCCAUCAGGCCUAGUCCUUACAAGAGGAGACGCCAGAGCUUUCGUGGAGAGAGCUGCCGUCUGCAAGCCAGGAGGAUUCUCACCAGAAACCUGGCCUGCUGGGCCGGGACCCUGGACUUCCAGCCUCCAGAACCGUGAGUAAAUACAUUCCUGUUGUCUAAGCCACCCAGUUAGUCUUGCAAACCAAUAUACCUCAACGAGUCCUUCCAGCAGCCGAGGGUAAAAGAAAGGCAGCAACUGAAACAAUGGCUGCAGCUGCCCUCAUGGAAGCACAAUUGCUUACAUUCCAAUCCCCUGAACUUAUUUUUUUAACUGUUGUCAU
Molecule: long non-coding RNA, 751 nt
Organism: Hippopotamus amphibius kiboko
Lineage: Eukaryota; Metazoa; Chordata; Mammalia; Artiodactyla; Hippopotamidae
Exons: 3
Source: RefSeq, a predicted model, not a curated record